GAUGAACGCUAGCGGCAGGCCUAACACAUGCAAGUCGAGGGAGGAGCUUUCGGGCUUCGACCGGCGUACGGGUGCGUAACGCGUAUACAAUCUGCCUUUCACAUAGGGAUAGCCCGAAGAAAUUUGGAUUAAUACCUAAUGGUAUAUAGGAGUGGCAUCACAUUUAUAUUAAAGCUGAGGCGGUGAAAGAUGAGUAUGCGUUCUAUUAGCUAGUUGGAGAGGUAACGGCUCCCCAAGGCGACGAUAGAUAGGGGUUCUGAGAGGGAUAUCCCCCACACUGGUACUGAGAUACGGACCAGACGCCUACGGGAGGCAGCAGUGAGGAAUAUUGGACAAUGGUCGGAAGACUGAUCCAGCCAUGCCGCGUGCAGGAAGACGGCCUUAUGGGUUGUAAACUGCUUUUGCAGGGGAAGAAUAAGGACUACGAGUAGUUUGAUGACGGCACUCUGCGAAUAAGCAUCGGCUAACUCCGUG
Molecule: ribosomal RNA, 474 nt
Filed under: uncultured bacterium
Lineage: Bacteria
Description: partial 16S ribosomal RNA
Rfam family: Bacterial small subunit ribosomal RNA
Source: RNAcentral